AGAAUAAAAGGCUCUAUGAGGAGUAAAUGGUUAAAUUAUGGGGCAAAGUCACAUGGACUGUGUGAGAAUCAAAUGGUUAAAGAAGAAGCUUAGAUCAGUAAAGCAUGUUGUGUCUGGCCAUGUCCUUCUCUGUUCUCCAUGAAAAAUGGCCAUGCCUUGAGAUAACUCCUGGACCAAGCUGCUUGUAUCUGCUCUUCCUCUUGCACUGAGAUUUUAAAUAAAGGUGACAAGAUCACUGACUCAUGGUUACAUGAAAGUCUGCUGGCAGCCAGUCAAGUUUGAAAAUAGAACAGUCUGAGACCAAAGGAAAAAUGACAGAAGGAACCUUUAAAAUCCAAGCAACUGCAGACAAGUUUGUUAUAAAAAGGUUUAUAGCAGAAGCAAGUGGUGUUUGGCCCCAUGGACCUGCUGUCAUCCAGAGCUCAUGUCCUGCUGAAGGUCUGGAUGUGGCUCACCCUCCUCUGAUGUCUGAGAUGGAACUUUCAAUGUUUCAUCACUGAAGAGGCUACAUGUGUUCUCCAGCUUUAUCUAGGUAUAGGUGACAAUUAUAUAUUUAUAUAAGGUGCAAAUUUGAUUUACUUUCUGUAUUUGUCAUCAAAUAUUUCCUCCAACCAAGCUUACUAACAUAUCUACAUGUCUUUUUAAAAUAUAAUAGUAUCUGGGUCAUCUUCAUAGCUACUUUCAAGGAAACAAGAUCUCUUUCAAAUUUAUAUUUAAAUGACACAGUUGCAAAAGUAGGAUGUCAAAAAUUCUGAAUGUUGGAAUAUGAAUUUCUUUUGCCCUAUUUUCUCUGUUUAUUUAGAUUUAUGUAGAUUUUUCUGUCAAGAUUUAUUUUCCUCCAGAUAUUUUAAUGAAUAAGAAGAUUAAUUUGUAAUUCCCAUUCUCAAUUUAUAAAUUACUCCAGUUCUUCUUUGUUUUAACUCUCUACCUA
RNAcentral lists this long non-coding RNA (931 nucleotides) under Heterocephalus glaber (naked mole-rat). Its description in RNAcentral is "lncRNA (ENSHGLG00000039705.1)". The record is from RNAcentral. Lineage: Eukaryota; Metazoa; Chordata; Mammalia; Rodentia; Bathyergidae.